ACUCGCCACGGUGCUGUGGAAUUCUCUGGUUUUUCACGCAAGGUCAGGCGUCCUGCUGGCGCCCUCUCGCCACCCUGCCCUCCCGUCAGAAGCCCGGCUCCUCGCCGGGGAAGGCCGGAUGCUGGCCCGCCGGGACCUGGGACUUGUGCCACAUGGAGUGUCGGGAGUCUCCAUUGCCGCGAGUUCUACACCACAGGGCCAGGCUGUUUGCUCCCCAUCGGUCGCUGCCCCCAGCACCCUGUUGUUAUUAAGGACUCAUUUGCUUGGAGCGGCAUCAUUACAAGGGUGUGGGGUCGCGGCUCCUUUGUCCAGGACUACGCAGGGGCUUGACCCCAGGGCGCUGGUUUAGGCCGGAUCUGGGGUCCCUUGUCACUCCCAGGCUUCUUCCACUUCCGAAUUCUGGAGAACCGGGAAUCAAGCCCUGCGCGUUCCUCUUCUUCCUCCUUCGUGCCGAAAGCACGCUUCAUGUCUGCCAGGGCAUCAGUUCUGAAAGUGAGCGGAGAACAAGGAGUUUCUUUUUCUUCCCCAGAAGUUGCCUUUUGUAAGGACUAUGUCUGCGCCAGGGCUUGAUACAUGUUGCUACUCCUGGGAGUGUGAGACUGGGAAGCUGAUGGAAAUGUCAGCAUUAGCUUUAAUGGUGAGGCCAAAGGGAGGAUGGACCCAGCAUCAAGCCUGGGUAGAGGAGAACGGGAGAGGGAGGACCAGAACCAGGGGCCGCCUGUUCACUGCCUUGAGGUGUCUGAAUCCUGCCUUUGCUGUUUGUGAGCUCUAGCACUAUGGCACCAGAUACUGCUACACCAUCUCAUCGGCAUGGACCUAUAUGUGGCAGCAAGUCCAUCUCAUCGCUUUUGGUGAAAGUCAGUCCAGUUUGUAAAGAUUCUCAUUGUCACUGUAGACGAGGAACUGGGACACCAAAAGGAGAAACUCUGGCCACGCUUGCACCCUGUUCCCAAUCCUGGUCCAGUGUCACCCACAGAUGGUAAGGAGCUCUAGAGACCUCACCAGCCCCUGGGAUUGGUCACCUCACUCUUCUAUGGACAGAGAUUCCUGCUGGGAUCCUUUGAGGGCAAGCAGACCCUUCUUCCAGCUCGGACUGUGAACUCCACUGCAGCCGUAAGGACUGUCUGUGACAGUGAGCCCGAGAUGACUGGGCUCUGUGCUCCCUCCCGGCCCUCCAAUCCUUGGCCUGCCACAGAGAACUGAGCUCUUUUAUUAGCACCAUGAAUGUGACUGAUACAGCUAGCCAUUCCCUUGUGCGAAUGACUCAGUUUAUUAAUGCUCUGCUAAAGAUGGCUUCUUUGCUUGCCAGCAGCCUUAAACAGUAUUUCAUUAAAACUGGCUUAAUUAUUUUGAGAAGACGGCCCAAUUAAAAGCUAUACACUCCCUCUAUGUGAGUGUUUAUACAUAGAGCUGUAUAUAUAAUACAUAUUUGUAAGUGUGUAUAUAUAUAUGUGUGUAUGUAUGUGUCUAUAAAUAUAUAGGCUUAGCAAUUUCAUUACAUGGGAUAAAUUGUUGGAAAAAAUACCCAGGAGCUGGUCCCCUUUCUGUUGCUAGAUUCAGAGUAGAGGCCACCCCUCCACUCUGGGAGAGGCUGGUGUUGGUGAUCUCUCAAUGACUCUGCAAUGGAAGUCCCAACUGCACAGAGCCCUGCCCCAGUUUCAGGAGCCAGCAGCCUCGGAGAGGCGGAUCCUGACCUCUGCUCUGCUCUUGGGAUAGCCUUUCCCUUCCCAGCAGGGUUGAGAUACUUGGGCCGGGAAAUGUUGUGGCAAAGUGUUUGCCAAAGCUCAGGAGAGACACAGACUUGGGGCUUUUGUUUCUUGAGCUGGCUGUCUAGCUUUCCUAAUGAGCAAAUAUGUUCUCUUUAAGGAAACAAACAAACAAAGCAAAAACACCAAUUCAUCUGGAUUUUAUUCAUUUGUUUUAAAUACAAACAAACAAAAGGAGAGUGGUUAUUUCUGCACCAACUAUUUCAAAUGCAAGUUACUCCAUCGCUCGGGGUGGUUGGAUGGUGCUUGUCACCAUAGGACCCACAGGGCUAGUUCCAACUGUUAUUCGGUAAGGCUUUUUUCUUUCCAAAAUUCCCAGUGUUCCUUUAAGGCCCAUUUAGCUGCGGGUUUUGUUUAUUCUCCCGGCAAUCAGCAUUUAAAAUAAGACAAACAAGCAUUUUUUCCUGGGCUGUGAAUCCCCCCGGCCAGCCUCCACCUGCACACCUGAAGCCAGCAUGUCCAAUCAAAUUUCUCUGUAACCCAUAUCCCCUUUAGAGACUUGCCCCCGUCGUAUACCAGGCUGGAAAUAGAGAACUUAAGCAGGGCAAAUGUAAUUUUAAGAAUUGCUAAUGAUGCUAGAAAUCUGCAAUGCAAUUAGCGUCAUUGGAUUUGGCGCUCCUCCGAAGGCACAAAACUCCUUGUCAUAGCGCAGUGGCAGCAGCGGCAAGUGCCUCCGCAUGUGCCGGGCUGUCCGGGUAUGCUGGCAGCCGCUUUGCACUGAGAUGUGAGCAGUUGGUUAGGCUUCCUCUCUUUCUUUCUCACAGAUACUGACUUCUUUGUCUCUUUUCUGGGUUGCAGAGGGAUGGGUAUUUUCCAUUGAUUAUUACUUUAGCAUUUGACCCUCCAGUGGAGUCACCCUGUUUUUUUUUUAGAAAACUGAGACUCUCACUUUGUGAAUUCACUGUGCUCUCUGGGAUUUCAGUGCUGUAGUUCAACCACCAAUCCCCCUGUCCUGAACUCCAGUACUUCUGAUGCUAUUAAUUGGUUCCUCAACAAUUGUGGCCUUUUCCAUCAUUGCCCACCAUAGUAUAUACUUUUUCUUUCUCUCUCUUUUUUCUAAUUUCCUUGUCUUCUUCACUCUCCAUGGAGCCAGAGGUAGUAUGAAGAGUUAAAAAUAGGAAUAUAAAGAAAGCCAGAGGGACAGAGGGAGUGAGAAAGAAAAAUUUUAAAAAGGGAGGAAAUGAAUUAUUGGAUUAAAAAUAAACUUUUACUUUUUUGCAGAAAAAUUAUUUUUGCUCUCUGGGAAAAUAACAUGGGCCAGGCAUAAAAAGCAUGUCAGCUGGCUAAAAGAUUGCAAAAUCCAGAAGAUGAUCUCGAUGUGUCUGUUCAAUUUAGCAAGGGUAUCUACUAGGGGAUCCUCUUUUAAAUAUGGAGGCCCAAAUCAGAAGCUUGUAGAGGGGAGCUAUUCUUCCAAGAUUCCAGAUGUGUCUGUGAGACAACACGUUAUGGGGCAAAUUGAUUUCACCCUUGGGAAACCAGGGAGAUUUUCAAAGUUAUGUCUGCAAAGCCAGCUAAUGCAAUUCCCCAUUAGUGCAUUAAAGUGCGCCCUUAUUAAUUCAAACAUAAAGGCAACAAAAUAAGCUUUUAAAUUUAAAAUAUAAUACAUAUAUAAUGAGCAUGUGUGAAAGCCUUAUUCAAAUGAAAAUACAGGAGUGUUUGAACUACUGAGGUAUCUUUUGUAUUGAAUUAUGAGCAUAUGUAAUAGAUUUAAUUAUUAAUUUCCCCAUUGUUCUAUGCACACAGACAGGGUUCAAGGCACAGUCAUUCUCUGGCUUUCAUAGAUCUAAUUUGUAUAAUUAUUGCCUGAAUAAAAAAUUGCUCCAAUUCCUAGCUCUCUUUCUUUCUUUCCCCCUUCUAAAUACUAUUUCAAUGCUGCAUUCCAAAAGGGGAACACCUGCCACUUCUUCAAAGUCAGCUGAUCAUUUGGAAUGAUGGACGGCGCUGCUGCCG
This 3716-nucleotide long non-coding RNA is filed under the name Homo sapiens (human). RNAcentral's name for it is "HSALNT0293571". The record is from RNAcentral. Lineage: Eukaryota; Metazoa; Chordata; Mammalia; Primates; Hominidae.